AAAAAAAUAAUUGUGGGCGGGAAGAGUAACAGUCGGAGUAUAAACAGACACUCCGAAGAGAACGAGUGCGCUUGGGCCUUCAGCAACAGUGACUUUAGCAGUCUCGACGACUGUCUCACGAAAUUCACCACCGCCGGUACGCCGCCGUGGUUGCUCUUCAGAGCACCAAAACGUCCAGACCCAAAGCCCGCCCCUUCUCUCUGACGCUCUCACCGGUUAUGCGAGGCAAGUCUAACUGUUCGUGAAAAGUUGCGAGUGGCAGGUGGGUUGGAGACCUUCGAGUUUCCAGUUCAUUUUUUUAGAUGAAUUAUGGUGCUGAGGUGUAGUGGGAGGCACUGAGUCUGAGGGGGAAGAUGCUUAAUCGGUUAAGUCGGCUGUUGCUUUUGCACUGCUGCUCCGAGGCCAUGGCUAUUUGUAGGUUUGGGCAAUCCCGGCGAUAAGUACCAAGGAACUAGGCACAAUGCGGGGUUUUAGAUGAUUGAUGCGUUUGCUGGUUCGCAGGGCAUUGCAAUGAACACGGUCCAAUGCAAAGCUAUACUUGGGCAAGGCAUGUAAAUCUUCGCGGAUGUUACUUUGUUUAUUGUCAUUUUUCAUGUUUUUUUGUGAAGUUCAGGGAAGUUUGUUAUUUCAGGUUUCGUUGGUGAAGUUCCCGUUUUUCUUGCAAAGCCUCAAACUUACAUGAAUUUGAGAGGCUGAAGAGUGUGAUCUAUCACUUUCGAGGGAACAGAGAAUUUCCUCAGCUAAGAAUCGGUGAGUUUGAAUUUCCAAAUUUCAUGAGUUUGAAUGAUCUCUUCCCAGUACUUGAAAGCAUGUUGAAUUUCUUGCCUGGUAUUGGGAGGCGCAUUCUGGUCAAAUGGAUCCAAAAGCAUUCUUGCUGCAAAAAUUUAAUGCAACUGCCCAAAGACGAGUGAUUAUAUG
This is a non-coding RNA of Malus domestica (apple), 918 nucleotides long. Lineage: Eukaryota; Viridiplantae; Streptophyta; Magnoliopsida; Rosales; Rosaceae. The record is from RefSeq and is a predicted model, not a curated record.